This 82-nucleotide transfer RNA is filed under the name Trichonephila clavata. It matches the Rfam family "tRNA". Rfam says of the family: Transfer RNA (tRNA) molecules are approximately 80 nucleotides in length. Their secondary structure includes four short double-helical elements and three loops (D, anti-codon, and T loops). Further hydrogen bonds mediate the characteristic L-shaped molecular structure. tRNAs have two regions of fundamental functional importance: the anti-codon, which is responsible for specific mRNA codon recognition, and the 3' end, to which the tRNAs corresponding amino acid is attached (by aminoacyl-tRNA synthetases). tRNAs cope with the degeneracy of the genetic code in two manners: having more than one tRNA (with a specific anti-codon) for a particular amino acid; and 'wobble' base-pairing, i.e. permitting non-standard base-pairing at the 3rd anti-codon position. The record is from Rfam by way of RNAcentral. Lineage: Eukaryota; Metazoa; Arthropoda; Arachnida; Araneae; Nephilidae.
GCAGACGUGGCCGAGUGGUUAAGGCGAUGGACUUGAAAUCCAUUGGGGUCUCCCCGCGCAGGUUCGAAUCCUGUCGGCUGCG